GACGAACGCUGGCGGCGUGCUUAACACAUGCAAGUCGAACGGAAAGGCCCUGCUUUUGUGGGGGGCUCGAGGGGCGAAGGGGUGAGUAACACGGGAGUAACCUGCCCUGGACUUUGGGAUAACUUCAGGAAACUGGGGCUACUACCGGAUAGGAGCUCCUGCUGCAUGGUGGGGGUUGGAAAGUUUCGGCGGGUGGGGCUGGACUCGCGGCUUAUCAGCUGGUUGGUCGGGGAGUUGCAUACCAAGGCAUUGACGGGUAGCCGGCCUGAGAGGGUAGACAGCGACAUUGGGACUACGAUACGGAGCAGAGUGCUACGGUGGGCAGCAGUGGGAAAUAUGGCACAGUGGGCCGGAGCCUGAUACAGCGACGCCGCGUGCGGAAUGACCGCCUUCGGGGUGUGAACCGCUUUCGCCUAAGACGAAGCGUGAGUGACGGUAAUGGAUAAAGAAGCACCGGCUAACUACGUG
RNAcentral lists this ribosomal RNA (468 nucleotides) under uncultured bacterium. Its description in RNAcentral is "partial 16S ribosomal RNA". It matches the Rfam family "Bacterial small subunit ribosomal RNA", at positions 28 to 507 of the family's 1533-position model. The record is from RNAcentral.